GUGCGUGAUCUGCCCUGUACUUCGGGAUAAGCUUGGGAAACUGGGUCUAAUACCGGAUAGGACUGCAUCGUGGGUGGUGUGGUGGAAAGCUUUUGCGGUAUGGGAUGAGCUCGCGGCCUAUCAGCUUGUUGGUGGGGUAAUGGCCUACCAAGGCGUCGACGGGUAGCCGGCCUGAGAGGGUGUACGGCCACAUUGGGACUGAGAUACGGCCCAGACUCCUACGGGAGGCAGCAGUGGGGAAUAUUGCACAAUGGGCGCAAGCCUGAUGCAGCGACGCCGCGUGGGGGAUGGACGGCCUUCGGGUUGUAAACUCCUUUCGCCAAGGGACGAAAGCGUAAGUGACGGUACCUUGGAUUAAGAAAGCACCGGGCUAACUACGUGGCCAGCAGCCGCGGUAAUACGUAGGGUGCGAGCGUUGUUCCGGAAUUACUGGGCGUUAAAGAGCUCGUAGGUGGUUUGUCGCGUCGUUUGUGUAAGUCCACGGCUUAACUGUGGGACUGCAGGCGAUACGGGCAUAACUUGAGUGCUGUAGGGGAGACUGGAAUUCCUGGUGUAGCGGUGAAAUGCGCAGAUAUCAGGAGGAACACCGAUGGCGAAGGCAGGUCUCUGGGCAGUAACUGACGCUGAGGAGCGAAAGCAUGGGUAGCGAACAGGAUUAGAUACCCUGGUAGUCCAUGCCGUAAACGGUGGGCGCUAGGUGUGAGUCCCUUCCACGGGGUUCGUGCCGUAGCUAACGCAUUAAGCGCCCCGCCUGGGGAGUACGGCCGCAAGGCUAAAACUCAAAGGAAUUGACGGGGGCCCGCACAAGCGGCGGAGCAUGUGGAUUAAUUCGAUGCAACGCGAAGAACCUUACCUGGGCUUGACAUACACCGGACCGGGCCAGAGAUGGUCUUUCCCUUUGGUGGCUGGUGUACAGGUGGUGCAUGAUUGUCGUCAGCUCGUGUCGUGAGAUGUUGGGUUAAGUCCCGCAACGAGCGCAACCCUUGUCUUAUGUUGCCAGCACGUUGUGGUGGGGACUCAUGAGAGACUGCCGGGGUUAACUCGGAGGAAGGUGGGGAUGACGUCAAAUCAUCAUGCCCCUUAUGUCCAGGGCUUCACACAUGCUACAAUGGUCGGUACAGCGCGUGCGCGAGUUCGUGAGGAUGAGCUAAUCGCUGAAAGCCGGUCGUAGUUCGGAUUGGGGUCUGCAACUCGACCCCAUGAAGUCGGAGUCGCUAGUAAUCGCAGAUCAGCAACGCUGCGGUGAAUACGUUCUCGGGCCUUGUCCACACCGCCCGUCUCGUACAUAGAAAGUAUUGUAUAGUCU
RNAcentral lists this ribosomal RNA (1306 nucleotides) under Corynebacterium sp. RNAcentral describes it as "bacterial SSU rRNA". It matches the Rfam family "Bacterial small subunit ribosomal RNA", at positions 117 to 1429 of the family's 1533-position model. The record is from RNAcentral. Lineage: Bacteria; Bacillati; Actinomycetota; Actinomycetes; Mycobacteriales; Corynebacteriaceae.